UGGAUCCUUUAUAAAUCGAUUCUUAAAAAAUUCACAGGCUUUCCUCCCGUUUCCAAGUUCCAUUUGCUUAUUUUUGGAUUCGUUAUAAAUCGAUUAAAUUCGUUUCGUACAUUCAUUCCAACAUCCACACACACAAACCCUAAUCGUUCUCUCCAUCGUCUCGCUCUUCGAUGGUGGAUUCUUUCAAAAUUGAUGAGAUCAUUGUUCUGAUCAUCAUCAUGUGUUUCAUAAAUCCUUGAUUUGUGGUAAAUUUUAUUUCAAAUUUUCAUUUGUCUCAUUUAAUUUUAGGCUUUACCUCAUACUCUAAUCGUUAAAUCCACUCGAUACGAAUAUGGUCGACAUCAUAUUUGGUUUUUACAGGACGAUCAUCCAAAUCAAAGUUUGGUGUUCUUGA
RNAcentral lists this long non-coding RNA (394 nucleotides) under Helianthus annuus (common sunflower). RNAcentral's name for it is "sRNA HanXRQr2_Chr10g0449491". The record is from RNAcentral. Lineage: Eukaryota; Viridiplantae; Streptophyta; Magnoliopsida; Asterales; Asteraceae.